Long non-coding RNA from Salvelinus sp. IW2-2015, 335 nucleotides. RefSeq lists it as uncharacterized. The record is from RefSeq and is a predicted model, not a curated record. NCBI's taxonomy places the organism in Eukaryota, Metazoa, Chordata, Actinopteri, Salmoniformes, Salmonidae.
CAGAGGGGAGUAGACGGCACUCACUACCUCUCCUCUCUCAUGCAUCCCCUGAGCUCCCCGGCAGGAGGACCGCACGCUCCAGGCCCAAUGUGSCCAGGAAGGAGGAGGUAGUGGAGUCUCUGCCCACCCUGAACACAGAGGUGUGGAGCUGGGGCCGGGGGCAGGAGGGACAGCUGGGCCACGGAGACCAGCUACCCAGGCUCCAGCCGCUGUGUAUCAAGAGCCUGAAUGGAGAGGAGGUAGUGAAGGUAGCGGCAGGAACACACCACUCACUGGCCCUUACUGCACAGUGUCAGGUGUUUUCGUGGGCAACAGACAGAUCCGGCAGUUGGGAC